Molecule: ribosomal RNA, 406 nt
Filed under: uncultured bacterium
Lineage: Bacteria
Description: partial 16S ribosomal RNA
Rfam family: Bacterial small subunit ribosomal RNA
Source: RNAcentral
AUUGAACGCUGGCGGCAGGCCUAACACAUGCAAGUCGAACGAGUGGCGGACGGGUGAGUAAUGUCUGGGAAAAUGCCUGAUGGAGGGGGAUAACUACUGGAAAAGGUAGCUAAUACCGCAUACCAUCGGAUGUGCCCAGAUGGGAUUAGCUAGUAGGUGUGGUAAAGGCUCACCUAGGCGACGAUCCCUAGCUGGUCUGAGAGUAUGACCAGCCACACUGGAAAUGAGACACGGUACAGACUCCGACGGGAGGCAGAAGUGGGGAAUAUUGCACAAUGGGCGCAAGCCUGAUGCAGCCAUGCCGCGGGUAUGAAGAAGGCCGUCGGGUUGUAAAGUACUUUCAGCGGGGAGGCGUUACCCGCAGAAGAAGCACCGGCUAACUCCGGGCCAGCAGCCGCGGUAAUAC